This 274-nucleotide ribosomal RNA is filed under the name uncultured bacterium. RNAcentral describes it as "partial 16S ribosomal RNA". It matches the Rfam family "Bacterial small subunit ribosomal RNA", at positions 523 to 796 of the family's 1533-position model. The record is from RNAcentral.
AUACAGGGGGUGCGAGCGUUAAUCGGAAUUACUGGGCGUAAAGAGUACGUAGGCGGUUGCUUAAGUCGGAUGUGAAAGCCCCGGGCUCAACCUGGGAACUGCAUUUGAAACUGAGUGACUAGAGUUUAAGAGAGGGGAGUAGAAUUCCGGGUGUAGCGGUGAAAUGCGUAGAGAUCCGGAGGAAUACCAGUGGCGAAGGCGGCUCCCUGGCUUAAAACUGACGCUGAGGUACGAAAGCGUGGGUAGCAAACAGGAUUAGAAACCCCGGUAGUCC